AUUGAACGCUGGCGGCAUGCCUUACACAUGCAAGUCGAACGGUAACGGGUCCUUCGGGAUGCCGACGAGUGGCGAACGGGUGAGUAAUAUAUCGGAACGUGCCCAGUAGUGGGGGAUAACUGCUCGAAAGAGCAGCUAAUACCGCAUACGACCUGAGGGUGAAAGGGGGGGAUCGCAAGACCUCUCGCUAUUGGAGCGGCCGAUAUCAGAUUAGCUAGUUGGUGGGGUAAAGGCCUACCAAGGCAACGAUCUGUAGUUGGUCUGAGAGGACGACCAGCCACACUGGGACUGAGACACGGCCCAGACUCCUACGGGAGGCAGCAGUGGGGAAUUUUGGACAAUGGGCGCAAGCCUGAUCCAGCAAUGCCGCGUGCAGGAAGAAGGCCUUCGGGUUGUAAACUGCUUUUGUCAGGGAAGAAAUCUUCUGGGCUAAUACCCCGGGAGGAUGACGGUACCUGAAGAAUAAGCACCGGCUAACUACGUGCCAGCAGCCGCGGUAAUACGUAGGGUGCGAGCGUUAAUCGGAAUUACUGGGCGUAAAGCGUGCGCAGGCGGCUUUGCAAGACAGAUGUGAAAUCCCCGGGCUCAACCUGGGAACUGCAUUUGUGACUGCAAGGCUAGAGUACGGCAGAGGGGGAUGGAAUUCCGCGUGUAGCAGUGAAAUGCGUAGAUAUGCGGAGGAACACCAAUGGCGAAGGCAAUCCCCUGGGCCUGUACUGACGCUCAUGCACGAAAGCGUGGGGAGCAAACAGGAUUAGAUACCCUGGUAGUCCACGCCCUAAACGAUGUCAACUGGUUGUUGGACGGCUUGCUGUUCAGUAACGAAGCUAACGCGUGAAGUUGACCGCCUGGGGAGUACGGCCGCAAGGUUGAAACUCAGAGGAAUUGACGGGGACCCGCACAAGCGGUGGAUGAUGUGGUUUAAUUCGAUGCAACGCGAAAAACCUUACCUACCCUUGACAUGUCAAGAAUUCUGCAGAGAUGUGGAAGUGCUCGAAAGAGAACUUGAACACAGGUGCUGCAUGGCCGUCGUCAGCUCGUGUCGUGAGAUGUUGGGUUAAGUCCCGCAACGAGCGCAACCCUUGUCAUUAGUUGCUACGCAAGAGCACUCUAAUGAGACUGCCGGUGACAAACCGGAGGAAGGUGGGGAUGACGUCAGGUCCUCAUGGCCCUUAUGGGUAGGGCUACACACGUCAUACAAUGGCCGGUACAGAGGGCUGCCAACCCGCGAGGGGGAGCCAAUCCCAGAAAACCGGUCGUAGUCCGGAUCGUAGUCUGCAACUCGACUGCGUGAAGUCGGAAUCGCUAGUAAUCGCGGAUCAGCUUGCCGCGGUGAAUACGUUCCCGGGUCU
This 1352-nucleotide ribosomal RNA is filed under the name uncultured bacterium. RNAcentral's name for it is "bacterial SSU rRNA". It matches the Rfam family "Bacterial small subunit ribosomal RNA", at positions 28 to 1381 of the family's 1533-position model. The record is from RNAcentral.